RNAcentral lists this ribosomal RNA (622 nucleotides) under uncultured Clostridium sp. RNAcentral describes it as "bacterial SSU rRNA". It matches the Rfam family "Bacterial small subunit ribosomal RNA", at positions 91 to 732 of the family's 1533-position model. The record is from RNAcentral. Lineage: Bacteria; Bacillati; Bacillota; Clostridia; Eubacteriales; Clostridiaceae.
AAGAGCGGCGGACGGGUGAGUAACGCGUGGGUAACCUACCCUGUACACACGGAUAACAUACCGAAAGGUAUGCUAAUACGGGAUAAUAUAUUUGAGAGGCAUCUCUUGAAUAUCAAAGGUGAGCCAGUACAGGAUGGACCCGCGUCUGAUUAGCUAGUUGGUAAGGUAACGGCUUACCAAGGCGACGAUCAGUAGCCGACCUGAGAGGGUGAUCGGCCACAUUGGAACUGAGACACGGUCCAAACUCCUACGGGAGGCAGCAGUGGGGAAUAUUGCACAAUGGGCGAAAGCCUGAUGCAGCAACGCCGCGUGAGUGAUGAAGGCCUUCGGGUCGUAAAACUCUGUCCUCAAGGAAGAUAAUGACGGUACUUGAGGAGGAAGCCCCGGCUAACUACGUGCCAGCAGCCGCGGUAAUACGUAGGGGGCUAGCGUUAUCCGGAUUUACUGGGCGUAAAGGGUGCGUAGGCGGUCUUUCAAGUCAGGAGUGAAAGGCUACGGCUCAACCGUAGUAAGCUCUUGAAACUGGGAGACUUGAGUGCAGGAGAGGAGAGUGGAAUUCCUAGUGUAGCGGUGAAAUGCGUAGAUAUUAGGAGGAACACCAGUUGCGAAGGCGGCUCUCUGG